RNAcentral lists this ribosomal RNA (250 nucleotides) under uncultured bacterium. Its description in RNAcentral is "partial 16S ribosomal RNA". It matches the Rfam family "Archaeal small subunit ribosomal RNA", at positions 473 to 720 of the family's 1478-position model. The record is from RNAcentral.
ACACCGGCAGCUCAAGUGGUGGCCUAUUUUUAGUUGGGCCUAAAGCGUUCGUAGCCGGCUUGAUAAGUCUCUGGUGAAAUCCCAUAGCUUAACUGUGGGAAUUGCUGGAGAUACUAUUAGGCUUGAGGCCGGGAGAGGUUAGGGGUACUCCCAGGGUAGGGGUGAAAUCCUAUAAUCCUGGGAGGACCACCUGUGGCGAAGGCGCCUAACUGGAACGGACCUGACGGUGAGUAACGAAAGCCAGGGGCGC